UCCUUAGAUGUUCUGGGCCGCACGCGUGCUACACUGAGUGGAUCAGCGGGUCAGGUUGCGCGAAAGUGUUUCCUAAUCUUUAAAUCCGCUCGUGAUGGGGAUUGACGGUUGCAAUUUUCCGUCAUGAACGAGGAAUACCUUGUAAGCGCGGGUCAUCAUCCCGCGCUGAAUACGUCCCUGCCCUUUGUACACACCGCCCGUCGCUCCUACCGAUUGAGUGGUCCGGUGAGGCUUUGGGAUCUGAGCGGAAAGAGCGUUUCGCUGUUUCUGCCCGGAAAACUCAGUCGAACCUUAUCAUUUAGAGGAAGGAGAAGUCGUAACA
RNAcentral lists this ribosomal RNA (322 nucleotides) under uncultured eukaryote. RNAcentral's name for it is "partial 18S ribosomal RNA". It matches the Rfam family "Eukaryotic small subunit ribosomal RNA", at positions 1470 to 1796 of the family's 1831-position model. The record is from RNAcentral.